Alligator mississippiensis (American alligator) is the source of this 1873-nucleotide long non-coding RNA. RefSeq lists it as uncharacterized. The transcript has 3 exons. The record is from RefSeq and is a predicted model, not a curated record. NCBI's taxonomy places the organism in Eukaryota, Metazoa, Chordata, Crocodylia, Alligatoridae.
CCGCCGCUGUGACGCAGUGACGCACGCACGUGCUUCCCACGCCGUUGCCUGGGAGAAGGGGGCGGGGCCGGGCCGGGGAGUGUGCCUGCAGCCAUGUUGUUCGUACCUGCCCAGCUGGUAGAGCGGGGUGGGGGGUCUCGAGGUAGCCGCCCCCUCGGCGCGCGACGCUGCCCCCACUCCAGGGAAGGAUGCGGCCUCCGCUCCGGCGAGUCAGCCUUGGGGGUGCAGCGGUGCCCCGCUCGCCCCCGGAGACCGGGAGCCUGCGUCAGCUGCCGAGCUGCGGCCCCGCGCCUCGGGCACGGCGGACAUCGCUCGCGCCAUCCGGGCGGCGCUCAGCAUCUGUGGGCUGCAAGUGCCUCGUGCCCCGGCUCUGCCAGUCUGGCAAGUGGCGCUGGGGCAAAAGGGGAGCCUAGGAAAGCUGAAUCCUACACUGGUGCAGGAGAGUCCACUAAGUGACUCAGAAGUGAUCAGGAAGGUGCUAUUUGCAUUUCCAAAGCUAUCACUAUCUGCUGCAGAAUUUACGCACCAGCUUCUCAAAAACAAAAGACGGAUCUGAAAGUACAGUCAAGAUGCCCAGUUCUCCACUGUCUUGAACUUAGGUGUUUGUUCUCAUUUGUUAAGACUUAGUGUAAAAUUAUAGCAAUUCAGGAAUGCAUUACUCCUCUUUUAUACCCACUUUACACUGGUAUAAAUAGCUAAAUGGAGAUCAGACCUACUAAUACAACAUUCACUUUAAAAUGGUAUAUAUUUUAUGUAUACAAUAAUCUUUUAGAACUCCUUCUAUUUUGAAUCAGGUCCUUCACUGGAGAUUUGUAAUAGAUUUACAGAGUUCUUUAAUAACAAUAAAUAGUGUUUUUCACUCUUAAAAUUUUCUUUUCAUUAUAUAUUUGGUCCUCUGAAUGUUCCUUGUUUCUCCAUAAAGGAUAUUAAAGCAUGAAAAUAUUUGUAUUACCUUCAGAAGUCUUGUUUUCCUCAACUUCUGCUUUAUCGGUUGUCUUGAAUUCAUCAAAAGGUAGACAAGUCCAAAUAUCAACCUAUUCCUUUUUUAUCUGGUGUCUUAAUAUUCUUCAUUAAGAAAAGAUUUCAAGGAGCAUAUGCAGGUGCUUGACAUUUCUAUCAUCUUAAUAUGACUGUUGGCAGUUUUAACCUAAUCAAAUAUUCAAAGCCCUUUCUAAAUUCUACCUUUGUGUUUUCUUCAUCAGAUUCUGCUGAGUUACUUGUUAUUCUCCCAGUCAAUUUUGCCUGUGCAAUUAUUUCCUUUAUUAGGAAACCAGUAAAGGGCAGCUUAUACAAUUCUCAUAUUGUAGCUUUCUUGCUAUUAUGAUACCAAAGCAGCAUGGUGAGAUAUACUAUUAUUGACAAAUCAUGAAAGGAAAUACUGUAUCUACUCAAAUCCACGGCAAGAGUCUUUUUCCCCAUUCAACAUCCAAGGAAGGGUCUUGGAUUUGAGUUUGAGAGGGCAGGGGGAUAGGCAGUAGAUGGAGCUCCAGCUCUGGCCCUAGCCCCAACCCCAACCCAGUCUUGGGAGUUUGAGCUGCAGCUUCCUACCCUUUCCUAACCCUACCCUUUCCCCCUGCCAGCCCUUCUCCAUGCUGCCUCCCCCACCACCACCACACUCCUGCUAUUGCUGCUUACUGAAUCAUGGCUCUGGGUCUGGGUCCUGCUCCACUCUGACCCAGGGCACUAAGCACAUGUUGGCUCCAUCCACUACCUGGCAAGGAAAGCAGUGGCAAUACCUCUGGGCCCCAGUUCUGGCUCUGAACUCAGGGCUAGUGCUGGAGCUGCCACCUCUACAGCCAAUGCUGCCAGGCCAAGCGGGGGCUAGAGCCAGCAUGUGCUCUGUGCCUCACUGGAGCCAGGUCCCAGGACAGUG